GAUUAGUGAUAAGAAAGAAUCGUCUACCACCAUCAAUUUUUCUUAUCCCUCAGCUGGGAACUCCUUUGCGUCUUCCUUGACGGGUGAUGCGACAGAUAGUAAACAGCUAUCGUCUUCAUCAGCGUUUCAGAUUCAGAUUACCAAUCUGUCUCAGGUUUCAUCAGCUGGAAAGCCUCCCCUUUCUUCAUCUUCCUUGAAGAGGAAGUGUAGCUCUGAAAAUCUGGGUUCUGGCAAGUGCAGUGGAUCGUCUGGUCGGUGCCAUUGCUCUAAGAAGAGCAGAAAGUUGAGACUGAGGAGAGUGGUGAG
Molecule: unclassified non-coding RNA, 306 nt
Filed under: Hevea brasiliensis (rubber tree)
Lineage: Eukaryota; Viridiplantae; Streptophyta; Magnoliopsida; Malpighiales; Euphorbiaceae
Source: RNAcentral